GAGUAGCUGGGACUACAGGCGCCCGCCAUGAUGCCCGGCUAAUUUUUUGUAUUUUUAGCAGAGACGGGGUUUCACCCUGUUAGCCAGGAUGGUCUCAUCUCCUGACCUCGUGAUCCGCCCGCCUAGGCCUCCCAAAGUGCUGGGAUUACAGGCGUGAGCCACCGCGCCCGGCCUAAUAAAGGACAAUUUUUAAUAGCCACUGGACUAUUUAAGUGAUCUCUUCUGUCAGUUUCUUUUACCAUCAGAGGACACAGCAGCAAGGUGCCAUCCUAGAAGCAGAGAGCAGACCCUUACCAGACAACCAACCAGCUGGUGCCAUGAUCUUGGACUUCUCGGCCUCCAGAACUGCACUUAAACACGCAGCAUGAGGAAAAUGGAACAACAAUCUUGAGGUGCCUUCUGAAUCAUCAGAUUAAAUUAUGCUUCCAACACCACACCCUCCUGAUCACCAUAGCUUUAUGGUAAGACACCCCUACUCUGUCCAGACCCAACUGUCAACAGAAGCCAAAGCCAUCUGGAGGAGCAUGCAACAACAAGAAACAAAUUUAUUAGCUAACCUAACCACUAAUGACGCAAGAGACAAUUCUAAGGACUUUCAAAACAGCAAAGUAGGAGCAGCUGCUACCUCUAGGGAUGAGGGAUGCAAUUGUCCAAUUAUUGGUGAAAUUGUCAUUUCAUGCUAUUGGCUAUUUGAAAUUCCUCCUCUAAUUUCAGAAUAAAUCACUGAAAUUGACAUCGGCCAGUCUGAAUUUCAAGAAAUUACCUGCUGAAGACAAGAGGGAUCUCUUCUUCAGAUUUGCAGUCUGGGGAAGACACAGCCUCUACUGUACUUUAGAACCUGAGAUAUGGUGGUGGAGGGAGCCCUGGGUCGAGUGGUAAGAUUCACCCUUAGGUUAGUAUUGACGUAAGGUGACGAGGAGCUGUAGACAAAAGAUUGUAACCAUAAGAACUUCAUAGUUUUUGUAUUUUCACCGAGCU
RNAcentral lists this long non-coding RNA (978 nucleotides) under Homo sapiens (human). RNAcentral's name for it is "long intergenic non-protein coding RNA 470". The record is from RNAcentral. Lineage: Eukaryota; Metazoa; Chordata; Mammalia; Primates; Hominidae.